This 217-nucleotide unclassified non-coding RNA is filed under the name uncultured Tomentella. RNAcentral describes it as "sequence contains ITS2". Lineage: Eukaryota; Fungi; Basidiomycota; Agaricomycetes; Thelephorales; Thelephoraceae. The record is from RNAcentral.
ACACCUCAACUCUCAUGGCUUGCUGUGAUGAGCUUGGACUUUGGGGGUCUUGCUGGCCUGUGAUCAGCUCCUCUCAAAUGAAUUAGCCUGCCGGUGUUUGGUGGGAUCACAGGUGUGAUAACUAUCUACGCUUGUGGUUUUCCACCAGGUAACCCUCAGCAAUGGAGGUUCACUGGAGCUUAUAAACGUCCCUCCUCGGUGAGGACAGGUUUUGACC